RNAcentral lists this ribosomal RNA (463 nucleotides) under uncultured bacterium. RNAcentral describes it as "partial 16S ribosomal RNA". It matches the Rfam family "Bacterial small subunit ribosomal RNA", at positions 28 to 507 of the family's 1533-position model. The record is from RNAcentral.
GAUGAACGCUGACAGAAUGCUUAACACAUGCAAGUCUUUGGCGAAGCUGUGCUUGCACAGCCUAGCCAAGGCGGACGGGUGAGUAACGCGUAAGGAACUUGCCCUGCAGUCAGGGAUAACAGACGGAAACGACUGAUAAGACCUGGUAAAGUCAGGCGGACUCAUGUCCAGCCUGAUGAAAAGUGAUGCUGCAGGAGAGCCUUGCGUCCUAUUAGCUUGUUGGUGGGGUAACGGCCCACCAAGGCGGUGAUAGGUAGCCGGCCUGAGAGGGUGGACGGCCACAAGGGGACUGAGAUACGGCCCUUACUCCUACGGGAGGCAGCAGUGGGGAAUAUUGGACAAUGGGGGCAACCCUGAUCCAGCAAUUCUGUGUGCACGAUGAAGGUUUUCGGAUUGUAAAGUGCUUUCAGCAGGGAAGAAAAAAAUGACGGUACCUGCAGAAGAAGCGACAGCUAAAUACGUG